RNAcentral lists this ribosomal RNA (440 nucleotides) under uncultured bacterium. RNAcentral's name for it is "partial 16S ribosomal RNA". It matches the Rfam family "Bacterial small subunit ribosomal RNA", at positions 338 to 795 of the family's 1533-position model. The record is from RNAcentral.
CCUACGGGGGGCAGCAGUAGGGAAUAUUGCUCAAUGGGGUAAACCCUGAAGCAGCAACGCCGCGUGGAGGAUGAAGUUUUUAGGAUUGUAAACUCCUUUUGUCAGAGAAGAUUAUGACGGUAUCUAACGAAUAAGCACCGGCUAACUCCGUGCCAGCAGCCGCGGUAAUACGGCGGGUGCAAGCGUUACUCGGAAGCACUGGGCGGAAAGAGUGCGUAGGCGGGGUAAUAAGUCAGAUGUGAAAUCCUGUGGCUUAACUACAGAACUGCAUUUGAAACUGUUAGUCUGGAGUGUUGGAGUGGUAGGUGGAAUUCUUGGUGUAGCGGUAAAAUCCGUAGAGAUCAAGAGGAAUACUCAUUGCGAAGGCGACCUGCUGGAACAUUACUGACGCUGAUGCACGAAAGCGUGGGGAGCAAACAGGAUUAGAUACCCUUGUAGUC